This 249-nucleotide long non-coding RNA is filed under the name Phoenix dactylifera (date palm). Its description in RNAcentral is "long non-coding RNA (PDAC_LNC013068)". The record is from RNAcentral. Lineage: Eukaryota; Viridiplantae; Streptophyta; Magnoliopsida; Arecales; Arecaceae.
AGGGUAGGCUCAUGAACCAAACCCCGGAUCAAGCCUAUGAAUUUCUUGUUGACUUAGCUGAAAAUGCCCAAAAUUGGAGUAGCUAUGGUGAGGAAGUAAUUAGAGAUGAGUUUGGGUCUAGAAAAUCAGGUAAUUAUGAAAUGAAAGCAGACCCAGAACUCAAAAAUGUCAUGUCCAAUCUGGUGGCUGGAAUGAACAACUUGAGUAAAAAGUUUGAUGCUUUCACUGUUUCCACUAGUUCGAGUUCAU